RNAcentral lists this long non-coding RNA (344 nucleotides) under Brassica rapa (field mustard). Its description in RNAcentral is "long non-coding RNA (BRAP_LNC005831)". Lineage: Eukaryota; Viridiplantae; Streptophyta; Magnoliopsida; Brassicales; Brassicaceae. The record is from RNAcentral.
AUCAUGUUUCUGGUUGUUACUCCGGUUUUUAUGCUCUUUUUUUUUGGGAUAUUAUUUCUGGCUUUAAUAAUCUAUUUAUGUUCAAAUUUAGUUUGUCCCUUGCCUUCUUGUUUGCAUGCAUUCUUUUCUUACAGGUUAGGAAGAUAUCAUAAAAUUUUUUAUUUAUUUAAAUAGUAUUUUGCUAUUAAAGAAUAAUUAAUUAAAAAAAUCUCUUUUGCAUAGCAGCUUUUUGUCAUGAUUACUUAUAAUACAAUUAAUUAUGAAGGUUUGAAACCAGUGUUUUGAAAUACGGUCUUGGCAUCCGCCUAGACAGCGUUUAGGUGCUAUACAAUAGCCAAUUGUAC